Molecule: ribosomal RNA, 439 nt
Filed under: uncultured bacterium
Lineage: Bacteria
Description: partial 16S ribosomal RNA
Rfam family: Bacterial small subunit ribosomal RNA
Source: RNAcentral
CUACGGGCUGCACCAGUGAGGAAUAUUGCACAAUGGGGGGAACCCUGAUGCAGCAACGCCGCGUGGAGGAUGACGCAUUUCGGUGUGUAAACUCCUUUUAUAUGUCAAGAAAAUGACGGUAGCAUAUGAAUAAGCACCGGCUAACUCCGUGCCAGCAGCCGCGGUAAUACGGAGGGUGCAAGCGUUACUCGGAAUCACUGGGCGUAAAGGACGCGUAGGCGGGUUGGAAAGUCAGGUGUGAAAUCCUACAGCUUAACUGUAGAACUGCACUUGAAACUUCUAAUCUAGAGUAUGGGAGGGGGAGAUGGAAUUAGUGGUGUAGGGGUAAAAUCCGUAGAUAUCACUAGGAAUACCUAAAGCGAAGGCGAUCUGCUGGAACAUAACUGACGCUAAGGCGUGAAAGCGUGGGGAGCAAACAGGAUUAGAUACCCGGGUAGUC